UAUUCUUAAGACCGACGAAGCUGUACCGGAAGGAGCAGUGGAGGGAUAAGAAGAGAGAAUGCCGGAAUGAGUAGCGAGAGAGAGGUGAGAAUCCUCUCGGCCGAAUAUCCAAGGUUUCCAGAGUAAAGCUGAUCUGCUCUGGGUAAGUCGGGGCCUAAGGAGAGGUCGAAAGACGUAUCCGAUGGACAACAGGUUUAGAUUCCUGUACCACAUAUGAACAGAACUGUGGGGACGCAUGUGGAGAGCACGAGCCGGGAAUGGAAAUACCGGUACAAGCGGAGAAGGAGUCUGGUUGGCAAAUCCGCCAGGCAAUCCGAAGACGUGAUGUGGAGCGAAUUAGAGUAGCGAAGCGUGUGAGCCAUGUGCCGAGAAAAGCCGCUAUUGUUUCAUGUGUGCCCGUACCGUAAACCGACACAGGUGGAUGAGGAGAGAAUCCUAAGGCCGGCGGAAGAAGCAUUGUUAAGGAACUCGGCAAAAUGACCCCGUAACUUCGGGAGAAGGGGUGCCUGCUAACGCAGGCCGCAGAGAAUAGGCUCAAGCAACUGUUUAGCAAAAACACAGGUCUAUGCGAAACCGAAAGGUGAAGUAUAUGGGCUGACGCCUGCCCGGUGCUGGAAGGUUAAGAGGAGAGGUUAGCGCAAGCGAAGCUUUGAAUUUAAGCCCCAGUAAACGGCGGCCGUAACAAUAACGGUCCUAAGGUAGCGAAAUUCCUUGUCGGGUAAGUUCCGACCCGCACGAAAGGCGUAAUGAUUUGAGCACUGUCUCGACAAUGCAUCCGGUGAAAUUGAAGUACCAGUGAAGAUGCUGGUUACCCGCGCCAGGAUGGAAAGACCCCAUGGAGCUUUACUCCAGUUUGGUACUGGGAUUCGGUACUGCAUGUACAGGAUAGGUGGGAGACUAAGAACUUGGGACGCCAGUUUCAAGGGAGUCGCUGUUGGGAUACCACCCUUGCAGUAUUGGAUUUCUAACCAGCCGCCGUGAUCCGGCGGUGGGACAAUGCAGGCGGGGAGUUUGACUGGGGCGGUCGCCUCCGAAAGGGUAUCGGAGGCGCUCAAAGGUUCCCUCAGAAUGGUUGGAAACCAUUUGAAGAGUGCAAAGGCAGAAGGGAGCUUGACUGCGACACCGACGGGUGGAGCAGGUAGGAAACUAGGACUUAGUGAUCCGGUGGCAUAAAGUGGGAUUGCCAUCGCUCAACGGAUAAAAGCUACCCUGGGAUAACAUGCUUAUCACUCCCAAGAGUUCACAUCGACGGAGUGGUUUGGCACCUCGAUGUCGGCUCAUCGCAUCCUGGGGCUGUAGCAGGUCCCAAGGGUUGGGCUGUUCGCCCAUUAAAGCGGUACGCGAGCUGGGUUCAGAACGUCGUGAGACAGUUCGGUCCCUAUCCGGCGCGGGCGGAGGAUAUUUGAGAGGAGCUGUCCUUAGUACGAGAGGACCGGGAUGGACGGACCACUGGUGUAUCUGCUGUCGACCAACGGCAUGGCAGAGUAGCCAAGUCCGGAAGGGAUAAACGCUGAAGGCAUCUAAGCGUGAAGCCCCCCUCAAGAUGAGAUAUCCCUCACAUAAGUGAGUAAGAUCCCUUGAAGACUACAAGGUAGAUAGGGCAGAGGUGGAAGCACGGUAACGUGUGGAGCUGACUGUUACUAAUCGAUCGAGGGCUUGAC
This 1661-nucleotide ribosomal RNA is filed under the name metagenome. RNAcentral describes it as "bacterial LSU rRNA". It matches the Rfam family "Bacterial large subunit ribosomal RNA", at positions 1237 to 2925 of the family's 2925-position model. The record is from RNAcentral.